Oncorhynchus nerka (sockeye salmon) is the source of this 591-nucleotide long non-coding RNA. RefSeq lists it as uncharacterized. The record is from RefSeq and is a predicted model, not a curated record. The transcript is spliced from 2 exons. Lineage: Eukaryota; Metazoa; Chordata; Actinopteri; Salmoniformes; Salmonidae.
UGGAGUUGGGGUCCUAAAGUAGUGUGGGAUAAGGGUCCCAAAGUAGUGUGGGAUAAGGGUGGAGUUGGGGUCCUAAAGUAGUGUGGGAUAAGGGUGGAGUUGGGGUCCUAAAGUAGUGUGGGAUAAGGGUGGAGUUGGGGUCCUAAAGUAGUGUUUAAUUUGAGGGGAUUGCCUGUUUUUUCUAUAUUCCGUACAGCAUGUGAUAUUUCUCUAAGUAAAUGUUGAUGCUGAAGUCAUCUGGCCAUGUUGGAAAUGCUGAUGUGAACAUUUAGACCUGAAAUGAUUCAUGGCCUGAUUCAGAAUAAUUCUCAAUGUACCGCUUUUUAUUUUUACGUGGUUGUUUCCCCAACUUGUAGAUUCAGAAAUGUCAGAAGGGACAAUUAUUUUAAAUAUGUUUUCAUGCUGUCGUAUAUUGCAGAGGGCAGGUAUGCCAUCAUAUGUAGUGGAUCUGUGGAUGUUUUGAGGCAGUGCUACAGAAUAAAACAUGUGACUAUGUUGGGAAACAACCCUGACAUUCUUCCCACACAGAGAUGUAAUCAUGACCAAAGUCAGAGAGAGGACAUGGAAAAUAAAGAUGGAACUGACACGUUA